AUGCCUUGGAGCUCCUGCUAUGUGGCUGUGGUUCUGGUCUUCUUUCCUGUACUUAAAUCUCGUGUUCUUAUGUUUUUUUGGUGGGCUUUCAAGCCACUUGUGUUUGCAUUUUGUCCAAAACUCAUGAAGAUUGAAGUUAUACUUGUAGCUUAUAGGUUUGCAGUUUUUCAAUUCAGUCUACGUUCUACUAAUACCAGUGUGGAGUACAAUGGCUCCUACGGCUCGGCUUCGCGGCCGGGAUCAGGCAUCGCUGGAUCGGUGGCACCAAAGGACGUGUUUGAGGGUGGCUUCUGCUUGUUCAUGAAGGCAACUAAGAAGGAGAAUUUGAUUAAAUUUCUUGAAGGAAAGAAAUAUUUUAUUUUCAGGCAGAAUUUUCAGAGUUUACAUUUGACAAUAUCUUCUCCUGCCAUUGCCAUAUGCCGAUAUGGUUAUAACUCAUAUCAGAAAGGCAAGUUCUUGUCAAAGGAAAUCUUCACCUACGUAAAGGACUGGCUAAGUUUUGUUGUUCGUUCCCGUUCUCGGGUGCUGUCCGGUGGGUCAGUUGUGCUCUUCAGCGCCUUCGUCUUUGUUGUCUCCUACACCUUUGCCUACACCCUCACCCACUACCACGGCUCCCGCAGCAAGAUGCUGGAGGAGACUAACCGUACUACCGAUGAUAACACGCUUCUUGCUUUGGUCCAGUUCGAGGCUGGCUGCAGCCACGACAUCGACGGCAUCCAUAACAAUCGCGGAUCCUUCGACAUCUGGAUUGACCGCUGCUCCGUCGUCGACUACGAUGGCGGGCUCAUCGACAUCAUGCGCCAGAGCAUCUACAUUGCUUGUCUCCAGGUCGUUCCCUUCUCUGUUAUUUGUCCCUGCUACUAAGUCACUCACAUGCUUGGUUUCUCUCAACAAGUAUCGUUGAUUAGAUGGGAUCACUGUGUUGUCUGAUGAAAAUAAACGUGUGUGUAUGUGAUUGCAUUUUUUGCAUGAUUGAUAUAUAAUGGUUGCUCCAAUGUACACUGGGUAUGCAUGUAUUCUCCACGAACUUAGAAUUGGCACUCUCUUUUAGACCAGCUCUUCAUUCUUGUAUUUAAGUUGGUACUAAAUCUGGAAGAGGUUUAUUGUAGGUUGAUGUCUUUUCCAUCUCAUAUUUUUCAUCCAUGUGAUACGAACAAAUGCACAUGAUAAAGAGGAGAAUCUUUUCAUGAGCUUCACCAGCCAUUGUACAGAAUAUACAAUGCUGUUUUCUUAUGCAUUUUAAUUACAUUUACAGCUGUAAGUUUGUGAUGAUACAAACGGAAGUUGCAUACAGAGUUUCUUAUAUAUACUAUUGUUCUAUCCAUGCUUAACAUAUAAAAAUUUCUGUUCUGUUCAUACUAUUUAACAGUCAGCAGUUUAGUCAUCUUACAAAAGUAGACUGUACAUACUCAAAUCAUCAACUAGACACCAGAAAUAUUGACUUCUCUUUGCUCUUUCAUCAGCCAUUUUACUUUAGCAUUCAUAAAUUUGGGUCCUCAAGACAUGUACUCAAUAACAGUACUUUGCUAUCACCAUUAAUAUCAUUAAUAUCCAUAGAACACGCUCUUAUCUUCCAUAUCACACAACAAUUUCUGUCCAUGUAAAUAACUUGCUUUCUUCUACCAG
Molecule: ribosomal RNA, 1626 nt
Filed under: Triticum aestivum (bread wheat)
Lineage: Eukaryota; Viridiplantae; Streptophyta; Magnoliopsida; Poales; Poaceae
Description: partial small subunit ribosomal RNA
Source: RNAcentral